This 256-nucleotide ribosomal RNA is filed under the name uncultured bacterium. RNAcentral's name for it is "partial 16S ribosomal RNA". It matches the Rfam family "Bacterial small subunit ribosomal RNA", at positions 524 to 776 of the family's 1533-position model. The record is from RNAcentral.
GACGUAGGUGGCGAACGUUAUCCGGAAUUAUUGGGCGUAAAGGGUGCGUAGAUGGUGUGAUAAGUUAUCAGUGGGAAAUCGAGGCUCAACCUCGUGGAAGUUGGUAAUACUAUUAUACUAGAGUGCAGGAGAGGUUAACGGAACUCCAUGUGGAGCGGUAAAAUGCGUAGAUAUAUGGAAGAACAUCAAUAACGGCGAAGGCAGUUAACUAUUCUGUUACUGACAUUGAGGCACGAAAGCGUGGGGAGCAAAACGG